GCCUGAGUGGCUUAGUUGGUUAAGCAUCUGACUUUGGCUCAGGUCACCAUCUCACAGCUUGUGGGUUCGAGCCCUGCGUUGGGCU
This 85-nucleotide transfer RNA is filed under the name Felis catus (domestic cat). It matches the Rfam family "tRNA". From Rfam's summary of the family: Transfer RNA (tRNA) molecules are approximately 80 nucleotides in length. Their secondary structure includes four short double-helical elements and three loops (D, anti-codon, and T loops). The record is from Rfam by way of RNAcentral. RNAcentral also lists the same sequence under 2 other names. Lineage: Eukaryota; Metazoa; Chordata; Mammalia; Carnivora; Felidae.